This 258-nucleotide unclassified non-coding RNA is filed under the name uncultured Mycobacteriaceae bacterium. Its description in RNAcentral is "contains 16S-23S intergenic spacer region". Lineage: Bacteria; Bacillati; Actinomycetota; Actinomycetes; Mycobacteriales; Mycobacteriaceae. The record is from RNAcentral.
UCCGGUUUGUCACCGGCAGUCUCGCAUGAGUCCCCAACUAAAUGCUGGCGUCCUGUGCAUGUCAAACCCAGGUAAGGUUCUUCGCGUUGCAUCGAAUUAAUCCACAUGCUCCGCCGCUUGUGCGGGCCCCCGUCAAUUUCUUUGAGUUUUAGCCUUGCGGCCGUACUCCCCAGGCGGGGUACUUAAUGCGUUAGCUACGGCACGGAUCCCAAGGAAGGAAACCCACACCUAGUACCCACCGUUUACGGCGUGGACUAC